Molecule: RNA transcript, 1706 nt
Organism: Ostrea edulis (European flat oyster)
Lineage: Eukaryota; Metazoa; Mollusca; Bivalvia; Ostreida; Ostreidae
Gene name: ribosome biogenesis protein WDR12 homolog
Exons: 13
Source: RefSeq, a predicted model, not a curated record
CUUAAUUGCGCUCUUUUUACAUAGAAGGUAAUUUUUUCAAAGAUGUCUGACGAAAACAUCCCACACGUGCAAGCAAAAUUUUUUACUAAACAGCCACAGUAUUCUGUACCGGACACACCCUAUUCCGUUCCAGCUUCUGUGGGGGCAACAGAACUCAGUGCACUCAUCUGUCAAGUUUUAAAAGCAGGUAGUGAUGAAUCUGCCGAGACAGCCAUUGAUUUUGAUUUUUUGCUGGAUGGAGAGUUUCUGCGACUGCCUUUGGACAAACACCUAGAAAAUAAAGGCAUUUCCUCCGAAGAUUUAGUAGAGAUAGAGUUUAUUGAGAGACAGCCAGCCCCUAAACCAGAAGAUUCACUUCUCCAUGACGACUGGGUCAGCUGUUUACAAGGCUGUCAGGAGUGCAUUCUGUCCGGUUGCUAUGACAACACAGUGAGAUUAUGGUCCACCACCGGAGUCCCUCUUCUGACAAUACCUGGUCAUUCUGCCCCGGUCAAGUGCGUCAGAUGGCUAAACGGAGAUGAUGGACCCAUCUGCAGGUUUAUAACUGGGUCACAUGACCAGACUAUUUUGAUAUGGGAGUGGCACAAACAGGAUAAUUCAGUGGAGUGCGUUCAUGCAUGUCGAGGUCACGGGGGAAGUGUGGACUGUAUUGCCAUCAAUGAUGAAAAAGACAAAUUUGUCAGCGGAUCUUGGGACAAAAUGUUAAAACUUUGGUCUGCAGCUUCAGUGGCUGAGGGGGACCAGCAAGACACAGCAGAGGCACCAUCAAAGAAACAGAAAAUCUCCAAAAAAGUCCAAACUAGGGUACCUAUUCUUACCCUCUCCGGUCACACAGAGGGAAUAUCUGCUGCAGAGUGGUUAGGUAGGUCAGAAGUUUGCACUGCAUCAUGGGAUCACACACUGCGACUGUGGGACAUGGAGAAAGCAACACAAACCUCACAAAUGCAAGGAACUAAAGUCUUUUUGGACAUGUCCUACUCCCACCUAAACAGGCAAAUCGUAACGGCCUCGGCAGACAGGCACCUCAGGCUUUGGGAUCCUAGAACCUCAGAUGGUGCAAUUGUGAAAUGUACGUACACAUCACACAAUGGUUGGGUAUCGAGUGUUAGCUGGUCCCCAGUAAACCAGUAUCUUUUCCUCUCAGGUUCUUAUGAUGCUGUCAUGAAACUUUGGGAUACAAGAAGACAAGGUCCAUUGAGGUCAGCACCUCUUGGAAGUCACACCCAAUCGGAACUCUGCUGGCAGAAAUAUGCAAAUCAAGAUCACACGUGUAUCAGCUCACUUUAUCAGCGACAGCUGUGAUACAAAUGCGAGGAGGCGGGUUCUUUAGCGAGCCACACCUAUUGUGACACGGGACAUCCCUUUUUUUGAGGUCAUCUCCGAGGACCCGUGACAUUCACACCUGAUGCCGAGCAUUUGGCAAUGGAACUGUCACUAGCUGUUUUAACGACUUAGGUUUGUCGCGGCCGGGAUUUGAACCCCGGCCUUCCGCAUGCGGGGCGAACGCUCUAACCUCUAGACCACCGCAGUGGUUUGGAUUCCCGGUUCAGCCGUAAUUUCCCCCUCUGUCCUGUUGCACUGGUCCAAAGGCUCCAUUGUACAACAUGAGUGGACACGAAGAAAAAAUCCUGUCAGUUGAUUGGUCGAUCCCAAGCCUGCUUUUAUCCGGAGCUGCUGACAAUCAUCUGAAGAUUUUCCAUUACAAA